GAUGGACCCGCGUCUGAUUAGCUAGUUGGUGGGGUAACGGCCAACCAAGGCGACGAUCAGUAGCCGGCCUGAGAGGGUGAACGGCCACAUUGGGACUGAGACGCGGCCCAAACUCCUACGGGAGGCAGCAGUGGGGAAUAUUGCACAAUGGGGGAAACCCUGAUGCAGCGACGCCGCGUGAAGGAAGAAGUAUUUCGGUAUGUAAACUUCUAUCAGCAGGGAAGAAAAUGACGGUACCUGACUAAGAAGCCCCGGCUAACUACGUGCCAGCAGCCGCGGUAAUACGUAGGGGGCAAGCGUUAUCCGGAUUUACUGGGUGUAAAGGGAGCGUAGGCGGUAUGGUAAGUCAGAUGUGAAAACCCAGGGCUCAACCCUGGGACUGCAUUUGAAACUGCCAGACUAGAUUGCAGGAGAGGUAAGUGGAAUUCCUAGUGUAGCGGUGAAAUGCGUAGAUAUUAGGAGGAACACCAGUGGCGAAGGCGGCUUACUGGACUGUAAAUGACGCUGAGGCUCGAAAGCGUGGGGAGCAAACAGGAUUAGAUACCCUGGUAGUCCACGCC
RNAcentral lists this ribosomal RNA (560 nucleotides) under uncultured bacterium. RNAcentral's name for it is "bacterial SSU rRNA". It matches the Rfam family "Bacterial small subunit ribosomal RNA", at positions 224 to 801 of the family's 1533-position model. The record is from RNAcentral.